GGGGGUGUGGCGCAACUGGUAGCGCAGCUGCCUUCGGGCAGAAGCUAGAGGUUCGAGUCCUUUCGCCUCCACCG
This 74-nucleotide transfer RNA is filed under the name Kocuria sp. HSID16901. Its description in RNAcentral is "tRNA-OTHER". It matches the Rfam family "tRNA". From Rfam's summary of the family: Transfer RNA (tRNA) molecules are approximately 80 nucleotides in length. Their secondary structure includes four short double-helical elements and three loops (D, anti-codon, and T loops). Further hydrogen bonds mediate the characteristic L-shaped molecular structure. tRNAs have two regions of fundamental functional importance: the anti-codon, which is responsible for specific mRNA codon recognition, and the 3' end, to which the tRNAs corresponding amino acid is attached (by aminoacyl-tRNA synthetases). tRNAs cope with the degeneracy of the genetic code in two manners: having more than one tRNA (with a specific anti-codon) for a particular amino acid; and 'wobble' base-pairing, i.e. permitting non-standard base-pairing at the 3rd anti-codon position. The record is from RNAcentral. Lineage: Bacteria; Bacillati; Actinomycetota; Actinomycetes; Micrococcales; Micrococcaceae.